Non-coding RNA from Pocillopora verrucosa, 1595 nucleotides. Lineage: Eukaryota; Metazoa; Cnidaria; Anthozoa; Scleractinia; Pocilloporidae. The record is from RefSeq and is a predicted model, not a curated record.
UCCGCCAGUGUCCGCCAUGUUGGUCGGCCAACAACCAUCAGCGAAAUUCUGCAUCUUCUUCGCGCUACAGAAGACCCAUAUAUUCAGAAAAUAUGUUUGAAAUCGAGUAUAGUGACCUUCUAUUUGAGAUAAGUUCGAAAAUUGGCGUAAACCAAUUAGAAAGAUUGGUUUUUAUGUGUAGAAAGCAGAUCACAAAAGGCAGUGAAAGAACGAUUCAAAAUGCACUCGAAUUAUUUGAAAAACUUGAGAAAUGGGAUAAACUCGGAAUCAACUGGUUAGAAACUUUAAAAAAAGAUUUUAAAACAGUUAGAGAAUUGAUCCAUGUUCAAGAAGGUGGAAGAGUUUGAGAACAAGAGAAAAGGGUGUUUACCAUGGAAUAGAAAAUUUUAUAAGUUCAGGUUAUUGCUGAGGGAGCAAAUGGGCUGACUGCACCGGAGGCUAAGAAAGUUCUGAUUGAAAAUAAGAACUCAUUAUUCUAGUAAGUUUACAAUAAAAUGGUGAGUGCAAUCUGAAUUAAAUUGCUAUAUGAAGUUCUUGUAUUUGUUUAUCAUAAUUAAUUUUUGCACUCGAUAAAUUGCUUGAGUUUAAAUGGAUGGUGUGACAGUAUUCUAUUUUGAGUGGCUGAAGAACAUCAAUCAUGUCAGUUUUGGACGUUUGACUAGGAAAUACGAGAAGCAGGCAAAUUUUCAUCUUUUAGGUAGUGUCUUAGAAAGCCUGAAUAAUCAUUCCAAAGAAGUCAUUCCUAUAAAACCGUUGGCUGAGUUCCUGCAAAAGAUUGUUGGUGGAAAAUGUUUACCUUUUCGUUUUCAUUACAUUGAAGAAAAAAGUUUGUAACCUUAUUGUGAUACCCAAGGGCGCAAAUGAAAAAGACAUUGUUCAUACUGGAUUGGAGUACACCAUGGAACAAUCAGCUAAGGUACAUCUUCUCCGUGACGGAUUCCAAGUUUCUUCUCAAAAUUAUGUCCGAUUUUUGUCCUUAACUUGGUUGCUGGGCUGUCGACAUAUCACUAGCAUUCCCGGGAAAGACAAAUAACUGGAAAACAAAGUCCACUUUUGGUCCGCUUUGGCAUUUAUUUCUCUUCUACAAAUUUUUAGCUCAAAUAUGUAGUAUUUUGCUUUGCGAGAGUUUGUGAGACUUCCUAAAGGUUGAUUUUUUUGGGGAAAAGAGGUUAUCCUCUCAGUUGUCCUCCCAUUUUUCUUUACAGGUAUCUAAACAUAGAAUCUGGUAUGACCUAUUGUGAAUGAGAAAAGACUGUCCCCAAAAGAAAACAAUGACCGGGAAACAUCUUCUGAAAGAGUUUAUGAACAGUGUUUCUAGAAGAGUGAUGGGUUCGACUCUUGAUUGCGUAUUUUUCACAGUCUUUUUAUCAAUAAAAAGUGAACUUCGUUUUUUCUUUUCCCAUUCAGAAAAUUAUUUACUGUGCCAGUGAGCACGACCUCGGUCUAGACAUUAGGACGGCUGCUUACAUUAUGUCCAUGGAAAAAGUCUAUGUAGCGUAUAGCGUCGGAAUAAACUUUAUUGACAGGAGUAACGAAAAAGUCAAUAAAGGUUUAUUUUUACACACAAAAUGUCUACUUCCGUGAAACAUGAAAAC